Gymnogyps californianus (California condor) is the source of this 813-nucleotide long non-coding RNA. RefSeq lists it as uncharacterized. The record is from RefSeq and is a predicted model, not a curated record. NCBI's taxonomy places the organism in Eukaryota, Metazoa, Chordata, Aves, Accipitriformes, Cathartidae. The transcript has 3 exons.
CGCAAAGAGGAGUAUGUGGGGCUGUUUCCUGCCUCGUCCCUUUCUGCGCGGCCGUUUGGGGAUGACCGAGUCUUAGGCUGGCCGGGGAAGAGGGGUGCCCGCGGCAGCAGGCGGUGCCCGGGCCCGUGUGGAGAGGCAGCGGGAAGCCGGGGCUCUGGGCAGGCCGCGGCGCUGCCCGCCGGGCCGUGGGCCCUCGGUGGGGGCGGAGGGCAGCAGCGGCCAGCGUGAGCUGUGGCGUGGGUUUGGGAAGUCACCUGUGAUCCUUUGGGUUGCUGCGGGGCAAACGGGCCGGUGCCUGCGUACCAGCUGCUCCGUGCAGAGCUUUCACUACCACAAUAUUACUACAUAAGACAUGAGUGAGCCCUGUGAACAUGAUUACAUCUCAAAUGAGGAAGUCUAGAGGAAGCCUCUCCAACAGUCCUGGCUGAAAGGAUGCCUAAAGCAGUGAUCAAAGAUGCAAUCUUGUGCCGUGUUUGAGAUGUUGUGUUUAAUAAAUAAACAGCUUUGCCUUGAAGAAAGACCAGUUCUAUCAACAGCUUCUCCUAAAGUGUACAAACUGCAUUAUCGUAGAUACUGGCUAACUGCUUGGAUCAAAAAGAGGACACUCGGAGGAAGCAGAGGACGUCUACAGUGAGCGGAGGAGGCAGUUAGAAUCAAAGCACAGCUCACAAGAAAUAGACAAUAACCCUUUGAGAAUAUUUUACUGCAUAAAAAUCUUGCUGGAUUGUGAUGCACCGAGAAUACAAUGUCUGUAUGUUUAAUGAAGUAAUAGCCCAGUUGUCCUCUCCCUGAAGUUAAUAAAAAUUAACUUGA